CCUACGGGUGGCAGCAGUGAGGAAUAUUGGUCAAUGGUCGGGAGACUGAACCAGCCAAGCCGCGUGAGGGAGGAAGGCACUGUGUAUUGUAAACUUCUUUUGUACGGGAAUAAAGAUUAGGACGUGUCCUCGGCUGAGUGUACUUUACGAAUAAGGAUCGGCUAACUCCGUGCCAGCAGCCGCGGUAAUACGGAGGAUGCGAGCGUUAUCCGGAUUUAUUGGGUUUAAAGGGUGCGCAGGCGGUGUGUUAAGUCAGGGGGAAAAGCCCGGGGCUCAACCCCGACCCGCCGUUGAUACUGGCGGUCUAGAGUUGGAGAGAGGUAGGCGGAAUGCGUGGUGUAGCGGUGAAAUGCAUAGAGAUCACGCAGAACGCCGAUUGCGAAGGCAGCAUGCCGGCUCCACACUGACGCUGAGGCACGAAAGCGUGGGGAGCGAACAGGAUUAGAUACCCUGGUAGUC
This 459-nucleotide ribosomal RNA is filed under the name uncultured bacterium. RNAcentral describes it as "partial 16S ribosomal RNA". It matches the Rfam family "Bacterial small subunit ribosomal RNA", at positions 338 to 795 of the family's 1533-position model. The record is from RNAcentral.